UACGUAGGGGGCAAGCGUUGUCCGGAUUUAUUGGGCGUAAAGCGCUCGCAGGUGGUUCGUUGCGUCGUGCGUGAAAGACCCCGGCUCAACUGGGGAGGGUCGUGCGAUACGGGCGAACUGGAGGCCAGUAGGGGGAUGCGGAAUUCCGGGUGUAGUGGUGGAAUGCGUAGAGAUCCGGAGGAACACCAGCGGCGAAGGCGGCAUCCUGGACUGGUCCUGACACUCAGGAGCGAAAGCGUGGGGAGCGAUCCGGAUUAGAAACCCCCGUAGUCC
RNAcentral lists this ribosomal RNA (273 nucleotides) under uncultured bacterium. Its description in RNAcentral is "partial 16S ribosomal RNA". It matches the Rfam family "Bacterial small subunit ribosomal RNA", at positions 524 to 796 of the family's 1533-position model. The record is from RNAcentral.